This 79-nucleotide non-coding RNA is filed under the name unclassified sequences. Its description in RNAcentral is "chrB RNA". It matches the Rfam family "chrB-a RNA". The record is from RNAcentral.
ACUAUGGGGACACGCGAUCUCCCCACGAGGCGACAUGCCCAAGUAUCGCGUUUCGCACUUUGCGAGGCGCUCUGUCAUG